This 213-nucleotide unclassified non-coding RNA is filed under the name uncultured fungus. Its description in RNAcentral is "sequence contains ITS2". The record is from RNAcentral. Lineage: Eukaryota; Fungi.
AAUUCUCAACCCCCCUAUUUUGUAAUGAGAUAGGCUAAGGGGCUUGGUUUAUGGCUGCCUGCAGGACUUUAUCAGUUCGGCUCAGCUGAAAUACACGAGUUGCCUUUAUCACAAUUAAUCCUUGACGGCUUGACUCGGCGUAAUAACUAUUAUCGCUGGGAACGUCUCGGUCGUUGUUGAUAGACGGUGCUUCUAAUCCUACACACUUUAAGC